CCACUCCCGGCCCGCAGCCGCCCCCCCGGACCACGCGCCUCUGCCAGCCCUGACACUGUUUUUUGGAAUCUCAUUAAUCACUUGUUUGGUGAUUCUGACUGUACUUUCUUCCCUGACCCUUUAAACCGUCAAAACGCUGAUCCUGUAUGUGCUGACGAAUUUAAUCAGCUCCUUUAAACCACCAGAUGCUUUCAGUAAGAUUUUCAGCAUGUCCCUGGCACAUUUUAAUUCAAAGGUCAAAAGCCUUAGGCUUGUUUACUUCGGUGUUGUAUAGAUAAGACAAUUCAGUCUGUAAAGUAACACAACAGUAUGCAGACACCUACCAGAUUUACACACACACAGAGGGAACGGGAUUUAUCCUCACAAACCAGUGUUGUAAGCUGAGCUGGCGACUAUUGUAACUACUUUACGUAAAGAGCCCACUUCUUUUCCACAUAGAUGAUUAAACUCCGUGGUGACAUGUGAGAGAAGGAUCCCAAGAGACAGAAAUCGGAUCAGAAGUCUUGGGGAUUUUAGGCAGAGCUGAAGAUUCUCUUCUCCGCUACAGAAAUGACGCGUUACAAACACAAGAACCACUGACCACCAUCUCUGAACAGACCAAGAAUACCUGAGUCCCUCGAGAGUAGCGUUGUAUACGUCGUCCACGUGCAAGGGCUGUACAGUUUUUGCGUGGGUUAUGCUGCAUGCUAACUGUACGGCUAUGAGACACCGGGGCUCCCAGCGUCGUGUUUGGGGAGCAGAAGGCAGCCGGGCCAACACCUGCUUCGGUUUUCCCCAGAAGAAACUCCAAAAACAGCAAUAAAAAUCUUGCUUGGUUCUGAA
Long non-coding RNA from Columba livia (rock pigeon), 822 nucleotides. RefSeq lists it as uncharacterized. Lineage: Eukaryota; Metazoa; Chordata; Aves; Columbiformes; Columbidae. The record is from RefSeq and is a predicted model, not a curated record. The transcript has 2 exons.